GGGGAAUCUUCCGCAAUGGACGAAAGUCUGACGGAGCAACGCCGCGUGAGUGAUGACGGCCUUCGGGUUGUAAAGCUCUGUUAAUCGGGACGAAUGGUUCUUGUGCAAAUAGUGCGAGGAUUUGACGGUACCGGAAUAGAAAGCCACGGCUAACUACGUGCCAGCAGCCGCGGUAAUACGUAGGUGGCAAGCGUUGUCCGGAAUUAUUGGGCGUAAAGCGCGCGCAGGCGGAUCAGUCAGUCUGUCUUAAAAGUUCGGGGCUUAACCCCGUGAUGGGAUGGAAACUGCUGAUCUAGAGUAUCGGAGAGGAAAGUGGAAUUCCUAGUGUAGCGGUGAAAUGCGUAGAUAUUAGGAAGAACACCAGUGGCGAAGGCGACUUUCUGGACGAAAACUGACGCUGAGGCGCGAAAGCCAGGGGAGCGAACGGGAUUAGAUACCCCGGUAGUCCUGGCCGUAAACGAUGGGUACUAGGUGUAGGAGGUAUCGACCCCUUCUGUGCCGGAGUUAACGCAAUAAGUACCCCGCCUGGGGAGUACGACCGCAAGGUUG
RNAcentral lists this ribosomal RNA (549 nucleotides) under uncultured bacterium. RNAcentral's name for it is "bacterial SSU rRNA". It matches the Rfam family "Bacterial small subunit ribosomal RNA", at positions 356 to 896 of the family's 1533-position model. The record is from RNAcentral.